GUUUAGGAUCAUCAGAGUGUAAAAAGGAAACCAAGACCACUGAGAACUGACAUACAAGUAAAGUUUUCAACUUGUGUAAAUUAAACUGACGCUUUGAAAUGACAACAGCAAGUAGCAACUUGCCACUGGUCGACCAGUUACCUGGAUCCUGGUCCGAUACUUCCGAAUCCCCGUCAAUCCGGCCAGCUGAGGUGGUCGUACUUUCGACGAAUUUUUCUGCUUCUAUAAGGACGCGGAGGCAAACGAAGCACAACACUUUUUGCGUUGCGAACAAAAUGGCCGAAACAGAGCCCACACUGUACGAAUACUACCACAUACUUGGCGCAGGCGAAAAUUAAACGUCAUAAAGUCAAUCGGGCCAAUCGAGUAGAUCGAGCACUGCUAAAAUCGAGCAUUCGAGUAAGAUUUGAUUCCGCAUUCCGUUUAAAAGGUAAUGUGGGUCGGCGCUUCGAUCGGCCAGCAAUCGCUAUACGGGACUUGUAUGCAAACUUGGAUACAAUGGUGACUUACGCAUGCAAAGCUGUAUGCGAUGGUGAUUUUCAACGUAUUUUCAUUUAAAUGUUUACACAGGUUUUUUGGGAAUGUAUGUUCCAGCUUAUAUGUCUGUUCUCUGUGCCAAGACAGUGACCACUCUAAUACAAGAAUCGAUGGAUAUUUAUCUAAAUCUCGGUCAACAGCUAGAUUUGUAUCAUUGUAUCCGGAUUACACAGAACGAAGCAGGAAUAUGAUUCGGGCGAUCGUCCAACUUUACGAAGGUCCAUCAUACAGGGAAAUUUCCCUGGUUCACCUUAUUCCCCGGGGAAGAGGAAUAGCUAAAGUAUGAUAUGGUUCACACGUCAUUUAAGUUUUUGUCCCUAUUAUCCUUUGCAUGGAGAAGGUAGUGUGUGCCUAUUCGAUCUAGUACACGCCAGUGGAUCUAACCUACUAAGGCUUCCUGGUAGGGUGCCGAAGUCGGUCCGGCGAUUUCGGGUGGAGCGUUGCGUCCAGUUGUCUGGCACCUCGACGACCCGCAACUGGCGAUCACCAUAAUACAACGUCUUGAUAUUGAAGAUCCAUGAUUCAUUGCACAGAAAGGUAAAAAACUGGCUGGGAAUGCAUUGUAUCCGCAACAAUAAUCUGUUUGACGGUGAUGUUUGUGAUGAGAACAUUGUCAUAUUUCUACAGCGGCAAAAAUCAGUCAAUUUAUUCGUAGAUACUGUAGAGAAUAUUAUUACACUCGGUAAGAUUAAUUGUCAAAAAUGUAUAAUGAAAAAUUAAAAGGAAAUUAUAUACUUCAUUUAUAAGCAUUAACAUGGUUAUAAUUCCACAGUUUACUAUCUAUACAUGAUUCAA
Molecule: long non-coding RNA, 1332 nt
Organism: Topomyia yanbarensis
Lineage: Eukaryota; Metazoa; Arthropoda; Insecta; Diptera; Culicidae
Exons: 4
Source: RefSeq, a predicted model, not a curated record